Molecule: long non-coding RNA, 442 nt
Filed under: Equus caballus (horse)
Lineage: Eukaryota; Metazoa; Chordata; Mammalia; Perissodactyla; Equidae
Description: lncRNA (ENSECAG00000058403.1)
Source: RNAcentral
CACCCCAAUUACCAGGUGAAUUUAGGAUGAACUCCGUGUGACAACUGGCGUCGUCAAGUUCUCUUAUUUGGGGACUAGUAACGGUUUAUCUCGAGACCAUCACGGGGAAUCUAGGAGAACAAGUGAAAUAAAGGACGUGAAAGAACUUUGAAAGCUGUGAGCGACCGCACGGGGAUCAGCACGAUGGUGAAGUUCGUCACCAGCAUCGCCAGCACGGUCAUCGUCUUUACCGCAUCGCUAGAUUCAUUCCAGCAUAUUUUCUGAGGUUUCCAAGCCUCAGAAAUGUCACCUAAGGUAGAAAAGAUGUCGGAGAAUUUGAGCGGUUUUAGCAAAAGCGAAGAUUUGGGGAAUUCUCACCCACGGCUGGUGCCAGGGGGACUUGGCACAGCCCUCUUGGAGUCAACUUGGCAGCGUGGAGUCAGCUGGGAAGUCUGUGUCCCAG